This 293-nucleotide ribosomal RNA is filed under the name uncultured bacterium. Its description in RNAcentral is "partial 16S ribosomal RNA". It matches the Rfam family "Archaeal small subunit ribosomal RNA", at positions 455 to 747 of the family's 1478-position model. The record is from RNAcentral.
GUGCCAGCAGCCGCGGUAAUACCGGCAGCCCAAGUGAUGGCCGCCGUUAUUGGGCCUAAAGCGUCCGUAGCUGGCCGCACAAGUCCAUCGGGAAAUCCACUCGCCCAACGAGUGGGCGUCCGACGGAAACUGCACAGCUUGGGACCGGAAGGCUCGAAGGGUACGUUCGGGGUAGGAGUGAAAUCCCAUAAUCCCGCACGGACCACCGAUGGCGAAAGCACGUCGGGAAGACGGAUCCGACGGUGAGGGACGAAAGCCAGGGUCUCCAACCGGAUUAGAUACCCUGGUAGUCC